UUUUUUUAUUGACCAAAAUACAAAAAUACAGAACAUUACUGUAUGAUAAGCUGAACAUUGAGAAUGUUCCAGGGGAUGGCAUAUGCAUUACAGAACAAACAUAACAAAACAAAUAUAAAGUAAACAAUACAAAGUAUACAUUACAGAACAAUCAUUUAAGACAAGUUGAAUAUAUUUAAGGACAGACAGCUUUCAAAAAUACGUGUAGCUUUUUUGUUUACACUUUUAGAUAUGGACACUCGAUGCUCCACAACUUCCAGUCGAUCACGCCUUUGGAAUCGUUUCGUCUGCGGAUUCCAUCGGAGCUGGAGAAAUAAUCCACCGCACAGAUCCGGGUCAGCACAGCAGCGGUCCGCUCCAAGCGCUGAGGCACCGCCUCAAGAACCUCAACCUGCAGAACUUUCCCUCUGUGACGAAGGCCUUCCAACAUUACGACAAGGUAGGAGCAAAAACCCAUUCACACUUCAGUUCUUUGCUGUUCUAACAGUGGAACACACAGAGGAUUAACUGUGGUUCAUGAAGGUCAGAUCGCUGUCCAAAUCUUCUUCUGUGAAUCACCAGAAAAGAAAAGAUCGAUCGACACAGACGACCUGAAGGCCGUCUUCCGGGAGUUCCUGCUGGACGUGAACCCAGCGGUUCUGGAUCAGCUCCUGGCCUGCUGCGGCGCCGACGGAGACGGGCUCAUCAGCUUCACCCAGUUCUCCAACUUCCUCAACUGGAAGGGCUUCAUGCCCCUUCACAGCCAGAAGCCGCGGGGUCGACGGAAAGGUCGGCGAGCCGCAGAGAAAGAGUUUUGUUCUCUAU
RNAcentral lists this long non-coding RNA (804 nucleotides) under Oryzias javanicus (javanese ricefish). RNAcentral describes it as "lncRNA (ENSOJAG00000000421.1)". Lineage: Eukaryota; Metazoa; Chordata; Actinopteri; Beloniformes; Adrianichthyidae. The record is from RNAcentral.